Molecule: ribosomal RNA, 370 nt
Filed under: uncultured bacterium
Lineage: Bacteria
Description: bacterial SSU rRNA
Rfam family: Bacterial small subunit ribosomal RNA
Source: RNAcentral
AGUGAACGCUGGCGGCAGGCCUAACACAUGCAAGUCGAGCGGCAGCGCGUCCGACCACCCUCGGGUGGUCGGAUGGCGGCGAGCGGCGGACGGGUGAGGAAUGCAUCGGAAUCUGCCUCGUUGUGGGGGAUAACGUAGGGAAACUUACGCUAAUACCGCAUACGACCUACGGGUGAAAGUGGGGGACCUUCGGGCCUCACGCGAUGAGAUGAGCCGAUGCCGGAUUAGCUAGUUGGCGGGGUAAAGGCCCACCAAGGCGACGAUCCGUAGUUGGUCUGAGAGGACGACCAACCACACUGGGACUGAGACACGGCCCAGACUCCUACGGGAGGCAGCAGUGGGGAAUUUUGGACAAUGGGCGCAAGCCUGA